RNAcentral lists this long non-coding RNA (587 nucleotides) under Sorghum bicolor (sorghum). Its description in RNAcentral is "long non-coding RNA (SBIC_LNC017021)". The record is from RNAcentral. Lineage: Eukaryota; Viridiplantae; Streptophyta; Magnoliopsida; Poales; Poaceae.
ACCUCCGAUCCAGCCUUAUAGUCAUCCCUCUCCUUUCUCAGGGAAUCAAUCUCCUUCCUGACGGAGGAAAACUCCUUAACCUCCUCCGACAGACGAGCCUUCUCAGCCUCCAAGGUCUCGUUCUCCUUCUUCAGAGCACCAAUCGCCUCAUCACGGCAGAUAACCUCCCGGGAGCAACGCUCCUCCAAGGCGGCAGCCAUGUGAUGACCCUGCUCAAAAAUAAAUAGUUACAACAAACCUCCGAGUGAAAAACCGCGAAGGAAGAUAUAACAAAUCACAAACAUACAAGGCUAUGGUGCUCAUAUUGCACGCGAAGGAGCGUGUCAAAGUCCAUGCCGCGGAGCUUCUGACGAAAACGAUCUGUAAAGCAAAAACAAGUAAGAAAAAACAUCGUAAGAAACAAAAAAAACCUUUGGCGGAGGCCAGAACACGAACCUCCGACCAAGGAAUGAACCUCGCGCAAGGCAUCGGUCCAACCUGUGAUCGAAGGAUCAGAAGCACCUGCGCAUAACAAAAACAAACCUUAGAAUAAAAUGCCAAAAACAAACCAAACUGUUGAACCAAAAAGAAGAAACUCACCGGGACCA